UUUUUUUUUUUUUUUUUUUUUUUUUUUUUGCUUUUCAGCGCCACACCAGCAGCGUACGGAGGUUCCCAGGUUAAGGAUCCAAUUGGAGCUACAGCUGUGGGCCUACACCACAGUCACAGCAAUGCCAGAUCUGAGCCAUGUCUUUGACCUACACCACAGCUCACUGCAACACCGGAUUCUUAACCCACUGAUCAAGGCCAGGGAUCGAACCCAAAACUUCAUAGUUCCUAGUCGGAUUCAUUUCCCCUGCACCAUGACGGGAACUCCCUCACCUAAUUUUUUAAAAGAAAGAUGAACUCAUGUGCUCCUGGUAGAAAUGUAAAAAUGUUACCGCUCACUUGAAAAAUGUUUGGCAGUUCCUCAAAAAGUUAAGAGUUACCUGAUUCCCCUGAGCUGUUUACCCAAGAGUAAAAGAAAUAACACGUAAGCAUAAAGACAUGACUACUUAUAGAAGCAUUAACUGUAACAAACACUGGAAGCAACUAAAAUGUCUGCUAGCCAGUGAACGGGUAACAGACUGUGCUUAGGCCACAUAACUGAAUACUAUUCCACAGUAAUAAACAACUAUUGAUACGAAGCAGCUCAGAUGAACUUCAAAAUAAUGAUUCUGGGUGAAAGAAGCCAGACCAAAAAAAAAAAAAAAAAAGACUACAUGCUAUAUAUUUCAAUUUAUCUAGAAUUCUAGAAAUGCAAACCAAACAACAGUGAUGGAUAGCAGAUUGGUGGAUGAAUGGAGGGUUGUGAGGGAAGGUUCAUUAGGGGCAAAAGAAAACUUUUGGGGUGAUGGAUAUGUUCACCACCGCACGGGGUGAUGGUCUCACUGGUGUACACAAAUCACGAGUUGUCCAAUUUUCUGCUUUAAUUAGGUGCAGUUUAUUGUGUGCCAAUUACACCUCAAUGAAUCUGUAAGAAAACUGAUACAUGUUUAAUACAGGAAAUUUGGAAAUUACAUAGGAACGAAAAAGAAAAAUGAAAGUGACUACUCAGUACUUCUUUAGACUACUCAUCUUGGCCAAAGAAAAGCGUAGGCCCCAGUGCAGUGGACACCAAGUUCCGGCCCUGAGAGCUCUGGUCAUCAGAAGGAUUCAGGGGAACAUUUUCUUUUUGAGUGGAUUUUCCCUAGCUUUCCGCUGAAUUUCAGGGUUGAGUAAAUGACGUUUGGUUGAAACCACCCGCUUCGUAAAGUUGUGGUAACAAACCAUAAAUCAGUCUGGGUUCCUUAAGAAGCUCUGCAAACCUUAGAAAACCAGAACGCUCUUAACAGAGCUGUUUGAUUCAAUAGUUUGGGGCUGGAUUUUUAGUCAAGUUCUGGUUCCAGGUUCUCAGUAUUCAGCAGAAAUGUUCAGUGAGUCAAACAUACACACACGUAUAAAGCUUUUUUUCAUUUGGAUCACAAAGAGAAGGUGAAUAUGUAAACAUAUAUUGGCUCCAAAUAUCUGCAAAUACAUCAUUCUUUAAAUGACAACCUUCCACUGUAUGGCUAAGGAAACGGAUUGAGAGACUUGCUGAAACCCUCACUUAGUAAGUGGUGAGAGGGAUAAAUCCAGCUCUCUUUCUCUAGAUCAGAUCCAAAGUAAGGAUAUAAUUUAUAUAAUACGAAGUAACAGUAAUAGCUGACAUUUUCCCCAGACACACACUUUCCCUACACAAGACCCUUUACAAGGUCCUUUAGGCCCAGACACCUUUUUUCCUUCACCUGAAUGAACAGGAUGCAGGGCUUCUCCCCACAUUUCCCGAACUUGGAAAUAAGACUGUCCUCUGAUAUCAUGCUGCUCAAAGUGUGGACCCAGGCCAGCAGCAUGGGUGUUACUUGGAAGCUUGUUAGCAAUGCAGACUCCAAGGCUCCAUGCAGACCUGCCAAUGCAGAAUAUGCAUUUUAACAAGAUCCCCAAGUGACCUGUAGGCACAUUAAAGUGUGAAAGGCCCUCUUAUCAAGUCAGCCAUCAAAUGGAUACAGGCUGGGAAUUCCUGUGUGGUGCAUCAGGUUAAGGGUCUGUCAUUGUCACUGCAGUGGCUCAGGUCACUGCUGUGGCAUGGAUUCAGUCCCUGGCCUGGGAACUUCCGCAUGUUGCAAGUGCAGCCAAAAAAUACACACACACACACGCGCGCACACACACACACACACACACACACACACACACGAUGGUCAGGGCAGAGAUAUGCAGGGUCAUCAGGAAGAGAGAGAGAGUCCCCCAGGCCAGCGGGUCUUGUGUGACAGUGACUGAAGAGCGAAAGAAUGCAUACAUGCAUUGAAACAGGUCAGGCAGGGAGGAAGAGAGAAAGGAGCAUCGCAGAGGCCACCACUGACAGACAAUGCUGGCAUUGCUCAGGGAUGGAGGAUUCUGGCUAUAGGCCAGUGGCAAUGCCAGGCCUGCUGUGCCAGGAGGAUGUCAGGCAUCCAGAUCUGCUGACACUGCAUGGGAAACCCUUGGGAUAGUCAGGGAGACAGACUGUAAACCAUUUUUAUUGUUCAAGCUUCAUGAGGACCUUCUUGAAAACAGGGCAAAGAAGACACCAUGCCUACCAGGUAUCAUUUUAAAGCUCCUUUUCAUUUACAAAUCACAUUUGUUUACUCUCUUAUGUCUCUCUUGGAAGACAUGGUAAGUGUUUCAGAUGAAGUUAAGUGGUUGGAUGUCACCCUGUGCCCACAAGUUCUGUCCGCACCUGCCUGAAGUGGAACACAGCCACAGGAAGGUGACUAUCUCCUCUCGUUCACCUGAUUUUUAAGGAACCUCAGCCAGCUCUGAGCCUACAGUUGCUCACAUCACUGAUGAGCCCCACUGAGUGGAAGGGGGCUGGAAGCAGUGUGGGUGACGUCUGUGGGUGGCGUGGCACUGCACUGGUAGGGGUAGAAGAUCUAAGAAAGCUUGGAUUUUGGGGCCCUAAAAUGCCCACCUCAGGUAUGUCUGAUCCAGAGAGGGGAGGUUACUCCCAAAGUCUGGAAGAAUCCAAGAUGACACGUACAUCAUCAUCUAACCUCUUCUCUAAAACCAUUUCCACCAGGCUUAUAAUUUGGCUUCUCCUUUGGGUCUGGCCAAGAACAGACAGAAAGAGAGUGGUUAUGUUACCAACAGUAGACAAGUCCAAGACGUUUGAUUUUAUACUUUCCUCCAAACUUCAUGCCUUUCCAUUAUACAACACUGCUUCAUUCAACAGGGUAUAGAUGAGAAGGUUGUGAUAAAGAUGUUCCUGAGAUGACUUCUGCUAGACCAGCAGCCUUCUAGGCUUCUCACCAUCUCCCCAGUGUCUGCUCUGAAGCUCAGGCUGGUGGGAGGGACAGGGCAACAGGUACCAAGGAUGUUCACGAGGCCACAUGGGGAACCGUGUGGUUUGGGGUCAGGAAACCAGGUGCCUGGCUGUCAGGCUACACCCACAGACGCAGGCACCACCACCAAGUCAGGUGUCUCUUGGUUUUGGCAGCUCUGAAAUUAUGAGUUGACAAUCAGAUGGCACGGAAGCCUGGAAACAAAGUUAUCAGCUAAUCAGAAAGACCUGCUUGGAUGUGGUUUAAAUAUCCUGAAAGUUAGCACAAUGUGGCAUAGGGUGGAAAUCGCUAUGCCCAGGCCCAGUGAUGGUGUGUGUGUGGGGGGAGGGGGUUGUGGUUGAAGAGAGGGAACCUGUCUUUGUUUUUAACUAUCAGAUGAACAAUGAGAGAGUUUGACAAACGGGGUGAUUUUAGAAUAAAUUUCUAAAGAGAAAUGAUUAUAUAUUUGCAUAAAUAGAAAGUCUACUUGACAUUCAAGACAAGUUACAGAUUUUUAACGCUAUUCAACAGAUAGAAACACUUCUUAGAAUCCUAAAAUGUUUAUGUUUAACAUGCACUUUAUUCCUGAAUACACUCUCACAGCAAAAUAUUCGAUGACUGCAGACAAAGGUAAAUGCCUUCUCAACCACCUCCCACCAACCUGCAACUUCUUCCCAAAGAGGUAAUAAACCAUUUGGGUAGGAAUCCUUCCAAACUCUUUUCUCUGCAGCUAUAAACAUGUAUAUGUUCCCAGACAAACAGCUAAUGUCAUUUUGACGUUUUGUUUCCAUCCUUCUAUUGAACAAUUUGCUUUGUUCAUUUGGAAACAUACCCUGGAGAGUUUUCCAUGUUAGUACUUAUGGAUCCAGCUCCUUCUUUUUAACUGCUGCACAGUAUUCAAUAGAAUGGAUAAGUCAUCCUUUAUGAAAUCGUCUUAUUGAUGGACAUGUAGGUGGUUUUCCAUUUUCACCAACAUAAGCACUCUUGCUGUAACACCUCCUUGAGAGCAUGCAUGAAUAUUCUUUAAAGGAUUUGCUGCCACUGGUAUACACUAACAGACCCUGCCAUCAUCCUCUUCCAGUGUGGCUGAACCAAUUCACACAUUCUCAGGAGUGUGGGAUUGCCUAGCUCCUCACCCCAAAGCUCACUACUAAACUCAUAAAAGAUUUACCUAUUUGAAGGGUGAAAAUAUUGCUGUUGUUUAUCUUGAAUCUCCCUGAUGACUAUUUAGAGCAUCUUUUCAGGUGCUUUUCUCCCCUCAUCUGGAAACUUUGGCACAGUUUAAAAUUUGGGUUGUCUUUUUCUUAUAGGUUUGUAGGAGCAGAACUUUUUUAAAAAAAAGAAAUUGCAAAAGCAAAUAAUAACUGUUUUCUUGAUUUCAGAAAGCUCUAAAAGCAUCUGCUUGCAUAGAAAUAGAGAAAAAAAAGCCUGUGGUGUGUGUGUACAUGCACUUUUUUUUCCAUACCAUGACUUUAACACCUACACACAUUUAGUAAAGUGAGUGAAGCCCCCAAAGAUUGCAACAACAAAGAUGAAAGGCAGAAACGUGAGGUAGUUAUGUCAGACACUUAGUAACAAGAAGGGCCACUUUCAGCCAAGAGCUGCAGUCUGGCUUUUGUGGUCCACAGGGCCAUGGUUUGCAACCCCAGGACCAACUCUUUCCCGGAGAAAUCUUUCCUGUGGUGGGAGCUUGGGAUUUGGGCUCAGGCUCGGCAGUUGCCCAUCUAAGGAAGUGACGUCAGUCUGUGGCCUCUGUCUGGGGUUAUCUGAGGGGCUCAUCGACCAAAACAGUGGCAGAGACAGAGGAGCAACCAGGUGGUAGCAAGGAGUUGGCAGACUCAGGCUCCCUGACUCACUCUCAACCACAGAAGAACUUAUCUCCACAGGGCAUCUUCCUGGGUGAAAGCUAAAGCCUGGAGGCUUGAGAGAAUGGGCACUUAUGUGGUGCAGAGGGGGCAGGGAGGAGAAAGUGGGCAGGGGACCCAGCCUCUCUGGAGUUGGUGCUUAUGUGUCCAUGAGGUCUUGGGGCAACACAAGGAUACAUUCCAAAGAUGGGACGUGGUGUGGAGCAGAGUCGGAUCUGUGAGACAUGAUCCCUUUAGCCCUCUGUUUUUAAGUAUUGCUUUUUUUGGGGGGGGUUGGGGCUAUUUUAGGGUGACACCCGCAGCAUAUGGAGUUCCCAGGCUAGGAGGCCAGUCGGAACUACAGCUGCCGGCCCACACCACAGCUCAUGGCAACACCGGGUCCUUAACCUACCGAGCAAGGCCAGGGAUUGAACCUGCAUCCUCAUGGAUCCUAGUCGGUUCAUUCCACCAAGCCACAAAGGGAACUCCUUAAGUAUUAUUUUAAAAGAUUCUAGGGAGUUCCUACCAUGGCUCAGCGGUAAUAAUAUUGUCAUAAUAAUAAUACUGUCAUAAUAUUGUCAUAAUAAUCCUGUUUUUCCUCCCAAAGCUCCUUGUGACAGAUAAUCUAUGAAGUCCUGUUUUCUCUGGAAAACCUCCCCACUCCCACUCACUUUACUUCUCCAAAUUCAACAAAACCAAACCCUUUCUGCCUCUGAGCAUCCCUCAAACCAUUCGCUCCUCCUAAAUACAUCCUUUCUCUCCUGCCAUCUCCUCCCCACAGGCUUUCAUGAAAUACUGUUCAUCCUUCAAGUCUUAAUGCAAAGUUCUUAAGACAUUCGG
RNAcentral lists this long non-coding RNA (5928 nucleotides) under Sus scrofa (pig). RNAcentral's name for it is "lncRNA (ENSSSCG00000062437.1)". The record is from RNAcentral. Lineage: Eukaryota; Metazoa; Chordata; Mammalia; Artiodactyla; Suidae.